CAACCGCCGCGGUAAUACGUAGGUGGCAAGCGUUAUCCGGAAUUAUUGGGCGUAAAGCGCGCGUAGGCGGUUUUUUAAGUCUGAUGUGAAAGCCCACGGCUCAACCGUGGAGGGUCAUUGGAAACUGGAAAACUUGAGUGCAGAAGAGGAAAGUGGAAUUCCAUGUGUAGCGGUGAAAUGCGCAGAGAUAUGGAGGAACACCAGUGGCGAAGGCGACUUUCUGGUCUGUAACUGACGCUGAUGUGCGAAAGCGUGGGGAUCAAACAGGAUUAGAUACCCCAGUAGUCCCUGUCUCUUAUAC
This 301-nucleotide ribosomal RNA is filed under the name uncultured bacterium. Its description in RNAcentral is "partial 16S ribosomal RNA". It matches the Rfam family "Bacterial small subunit ribosomal RNA", at positions 509 to 807 of the family's 1533-position model. The record is from RNAcentral.